UACGUAGGGUGCAAGCGUUAAUCGGAAUUACUGGGCGUAAAGCGUGCGCAGGCGGUUUUGUAAGUCUGUCGUGAAAUCCCCGGGCUCAACCUGGGAAUUGCAUUGGAGACUGCAAGGCUAGAAUCUGGCAGAGGGGGGUAGAAUUCCACGUGUAGCAGUGAAAUGCGUAGAGAUGUGGAGGAACACCGAUGGCGAAGGCAGCCCACUGGGUCAAGAUUGACGCUCAUGCACGAAAGCGUGGGGAGCAAACAGG
This 253-nucleotide ribosomal RNA is filed under the name uncultured bacterium. Its description in RNAcentral is "partial 16S ribosomal RNA". It matches the Rfam family "Bacterial small subunit ribosomal RNA", at positions 524 to 776 of the family's 1533-position model. The record is from RNAcentral.